UACGUAGGGGGCGAGCGUUAUCCGGAUUCAUUGGGCGUAAAGCGCGCGUAGGCGGCCCGGCAGGCCGGGGGUCGAAGCGGGGGGCUCAACCCCCCGAAGCCCCCGGAACCUCCGCGGCUUGGGUCCGGUAGGGGAGGGUGGAACACCCGGUGUAGCGGUGGAAUGCGCAGAUAUCGGGUGGAACACCGGUGGCGAAGGCGGCCCUCUGGGCCGAGACCGACGCUGAGGCGCGAAAGCUGGGGGAGCGAACA
Molecule: ribosomal RNA, 251 nt
Filed under: uncultured bacterium
Lineage: Bacteria
Description: partial 16S ribosomal RNA
Rfam family: Bacterial small subunit ribosomal RNA
Source: RNAcentral